Molecule: non-coding RNA, 406 nt
Organism: Odocoileus virginianus texanus
Lineage: Eukaryota; Metazoa; Chordata; Mammalia; Artiodactyla; Cervidae
Source: RefSeq, a predicted model, not a curated record
CAGCUCCAUCUCUUAGGAUUUCUCACCAGCAGCUCCUAAGGCUCCUGGCUAAUGCCUCUUUGCUCCCACCAGGCGCUUCAUGGGCGUGUACUGAAUCACAAAGGACCCUACAUGAGAUGAAUCUUCUUGUACAUCCCUCUUGGCAUGUGAUGAAAGGAGGAGUUUGCUUGGGAUUGUCCUGGUAACAAGGAACACUCCCAAUCCUUGGAGCCCCUCCCUGGGAAGCAAAAGUCCUGGUUUUCGGCAGAGGGCAUGGCAGACUGGGAGAAAAACACAAAAAUAAUGGAUUCAGUUCAUGAAAACGGGAACCAUGGCAAAGACCAAUGCCACAUACCCAGACAUCACUGGGAGAGGGAGGAAGGAAAGAGUGGGAGGUAUGGAGAGAGUAACAUGGAAACAUACAUCA